GACGAACGCUGGCGGCGUGCUUAACACAUGCAAGUCGAACGGAAAGGCCUUUUUUGCGGUACUCUAGUGGCGAACGGGGGAGUAAAACGUGGGGGAGCUGCCCUCCGCUCUGGGAGAAGCCUGGGAAACUCGGUCUAAUACCGGGUAGGACCGCCCUUUUUUGUGUGUGGGGGAAAGUUUUUUCGGGGUAGGGUGCGCCCGCGGCCUAUCUGCUUGUUGGUGUGGGAAUGGCCCACCAAAGCGGGGACGGGUAGCCGGACUGAGAGGUUGGUAGGCCACAUUGGGACUGAGAUACGGCCCAGACGCCUACGGGAGGCAGCAGUGGGGAAGAUUGCACAAUGGGCGCAAGCCUGAUGCAGCGACGCCGCGUGGGGGAUGACGGCCUUCGGGUUGUAAACUCCUUUCGCCAGGGACGAAGCGUUUUGUGACGGUACCUGGAGAAGAAGCACCGGCUAACUACGUG
This 463-nucleotide ribosomal RNA is filed under the name uncultured bacterium. Its description in RNAcentral is "partial 16S ribosomal RNA". It matches the Rfam family "Bacterial small subunit ribosomal RNA", at positions 28 to 507 of the family's 1533-position model. The record is from RNAcentral.